Molecule: ribosomal RNA, 858 nt
Filed under: uncultured bacterium
Lineage: Bacteria
Description: bacterial SSU rRNA
Rfam family: Bacterial small subunit ribosomal RNA
Source: RNAcentral
UAGAGUGUGGGAGAGGAAGGUAGAAUUUCCAGGUGUAGCGGUGAAAUGCGUAGAGAUYUGGAGGAAUACCGAUGGCGAAGGCAGCUUCUGGCCUAACACUGACGCUGAGGUGCGAAAGCAUGGGGAGCAAACAGGAUUAGAUACCCUGGUAGUCCAUGCCGUAAACGAUGUCAACUAGCCGUUGGGCUCCUUGAGGGCUUAGUGGCGCAGCUAACGCGAUAAGUUGACCGCCUGGGGAGUACGGUCGCAAGACUAAAACUCAAAUGAAUUGACGGGGGCCCGCACAAGCGGUGGAGCAUGUGGUUUAAUUCGAUGCAACGCGAAGAACCUUACCUGGCCCUGACAUGUCUGGAAUCCUGCAGAGAUGCGGGAGUGCCUUCGGGAAUCAGAACACAGGUGCUGCAUGGCUGUCGUCAGCUCGUGUCGUGAGAUGUUGGGUUAAGUCCCGCAACGAGCGCAACCCUUUUCUUUACUUGCCAGCACUUCGGGUGGGAACUUUAAAGAUACUGCCGGUGACAAACCGGAGGAAGGCGGGGACGACGUCAAGUCAUCAUGGCCCUUACGGCCAGGGCUACACACGUGCUACAAUGGUCGGUACAAAGGGUUGCUAACCCGCGAGGGCAUGCUAAUCUCAAAAAGCCGAUCGUAGUCCAGAUUGGAGUCUGCAACUCGACUCCAUGAAGUCGGAAUCGCUAGUAAUCGCGGAUCAGAAUGCCGCGGUGAAUACGUUCCCGGGCCUUGUACACACCGCCCGUCACACCAUGGGAGUUUGUUGCACCAGAAGUAGUUAGCCUAACCGCAAGGAGGGCGAUUACCACGGUGUGGCCAAUGACUGGGGUGAAGUMGUAACAAGGUAAC